This is a long non-coding RNA of Carcharodon carcharias (great white shark), 505 nucleotides long. RefSeq lists it as uncharacterized. The record is from RefSeq and is a predicted model, not a curated record. The transcript is spliced from 3 exons. NCBI's taxonomy places the organism in Eukaryota, Metazoa, Chordata, Chondrichthyes, Lamniformes, Lamnidae.
CCAGCCCGCCCGCCGAAGCCUCGGCCUCCACCCCCCGGACAGCGCUCGCGGCCCGGCCGGGGGCUGCUUGGAGCUGGACGACCCGGCCUACGGACUCUGCCCUCGGCCUGUCCCCGGCAGGCCAGAGCCGGCGGCCAGGACCCCCCCAGCCAGCAGGCCUGGUCGCACCCCACCGGCACCCGAGCCUCCCCAGGCCGAGAAUCUCUACGAGAGGGUCCCAGAGGAGUACCUGAGACCACCGCCCUUUGCACCGAGCAGAGCGACAUCCAAGAGGGGCCUUUGAUUGCUUCGUAGAGGUGGACACAUUCCUGCCAUCCCUGCCAGGUUGAGCCCGCUCACCCUGUCCCCGGGGGAAUGGCUGGGGGGGGCCAGAGGUCGUGGAUCAUCGUGCGGCGGAGUUCGUGGGUCUCUCACGGAAAGCUGAGCGGCCAGGAGACGCUGCUGCUGCAGUGAGGAACGCCUCGCUGGGUGACAUUGAGCUAAUGAAUAAAAGUGGUUAAUUUAA